UGAAAUCACACAUUUGAAGUAACCGCGGGCUCUAGGGCAUCAUCUUACCGUUAAAGUCACUCGUGAGAACGAAACGGCUGAUUUGAGAGCAGUAUUUUGGGGCGCAGCGAGGCGCAUUUGAGUCGGCCUGAGAUGUUGAGCAUUCCAGGUGAAGUUCGGCUGCUGUGAAGUAUCCUGACUUGACCAGGUCUGAGAGUGUCUAUCCUGAAAUCAAGGAGGCAUUCCAGCAAGAUGUUUUGCCUACUCACAGCCGGAUAAGGGAACAGGACACAGGCUGCCACACUGUCUUGUUAUUGUCAUCUCUUUAUGUUUCCUGAUCUCUGCACUUCAUCUCUGGCCCAGAUUUCCUUAUUGCUAUCUGUAAUCACAUCCUGCCUUGGAAAUGUCAGACUUGAGCCUGAGGAGUACAGUCACUCCAACAGCUUCCACUCUGGGCCCUUCUCCUGUGUUAAUAGGGUAAGAUGUGGUUAGACAUUAAAUCGAAUUACUGGAGUCCUUUCCAUCAACAGAACACUGCCUGAGGCUGGCAUCAAUAAAUGGUGUGGAUCCUUGGUCUAGCCAAUUGUUCUGAGUAGGAAUAAAGUAAACCUCAGUUUAUCACAA
Hyaena hyaena (striped hyena) is the source of this 603-nucleotide long non-coding RNA. RefSeq lists it as uncharacterized. Lineage: Eukaryota; Metazoa; Chordata; Mammalia; Carnivora; Hyaenidae. The transcript is spliced from 2 exons. The record is from RefSeq and is a predicted model, not a curated record.